UCCUAAGCAUACUCCAUUACUUUCCGUCCCACUAGGCAAACCACCGACAUUUGACGGUGAAGAUUAUUCUAGGUGGAGUGAUAUGAUGAGAUAUCACCUAACCUCACUCCACAAAAGUAUAUGGGAUGUUGUUGAGUUUGGUGUACAGGUACCGUCCGUAGGGGAUGAAGAUUAUGAUGAGGACGAGGUGGCCCAAAUUGUGCACUUCAACUCCCAAGCCACCACUAUACUCCUCACCUCUCUAUGUCGAGAGGAGUAUAACAAGGUGCAAGGAUUGAAGAGCGCCAAGCAGAUUUGGGAUGUACUCAAGACCGCGCACGAAGGAGACGAGGUGACAAAAAUCACCAAGCGGGAGACGAUCGAGGGGGAGCUCGGUCGCUUCUGGCUUCGCCAAGGGGAGGAGCCACAAGAAAUGUACAACCGGCUCAAGACCUUGGUGAACCAAGUGCGCAACCUUGGGAGCACCAAAUGGGAUGACCAUGAAAUGGUCAAGGUUAUUCUUAGAUCACUCGUUUUUCUUAAUCCUACGCAAGUUUAAUUAAUAUGUGGUGAUCCUAGAUACACACUAAUGUCUCCCGAGGAAGUGAUAGGAAAAUUUGUGAGCUUUGAGUUGAUGAUCAAAGGCUUAAAGAAAAACAUCGAGCAAGAUGGCCCCUCCACACUCGAAGCACAACCGGUCGCAUUCAAGGCGACGGAGGAGAAGAAGGAAGAGUCUACAUCAAGUAGACUCCCCAUUGACGCCUCCAAGCUCGACAAUGAGGAGAUGGCUCUCAUCAUCAAGAGCUUCCGCCAAAUCCUCAAGCAAAGGAGGGGGAAGGACUACAAAUCCCGCUCCAAGAAAGUGUGCUACAAGUGUGGUAAGCCCGGUCACUUUAUUGCAAAAUGUCCUUUAUCAAGUGACAGUGACAGGGAUAACGACAAGAAGGGCAAGAGGAGAGAAAAGAAGAGGUACUACAAGAAGAAGGGCGGCGAUGCCCAUGUGUGCCGCGAGUGGAACUCCAACGAGAGCUCCUCUAACUCCUCCUCCGAUGAGGACGCCGCCAACAUCGCUGUCACCAAAGGGCUCCUCUUCCCCAACGUCGGCCACAAGUGCCUCAUGGCAAAGGACGGCAAAAGGAAGAAGGUAAAAUCAAAAUCCUCCACUAAAUAUGCAACCUCUAGUGAUGAGGAUAAUUCUAGUGAUGAGGAGGAUAAUUUGCGCAACCUUUUUGCCAACCUAAACAUGCAACAAAAAGAGAAGUUAAAUGAAUUAAUUAGUGCUAUUCAUGAGAAGGAUGAACUCUUGGACACCCAAGAGGACUUCCUAAUUAAGGAAAACAAGAAGCAUGUUAAGGUCAAAAAUGCUUACGCUCUAGAAGUAGAAAAAUGUGGAAAACUAUCUAGUGAGCUAAGUACUUGCCAUGAUAUUAUUGCCAACCUUAGAAAUGAGAAUGCUAAAAUAAUUGCUAAGGUUUAUUCAAGUGUAUUUGAUGAUUCAAUUUCCAAUCUUAGAGAUGAUAAUGUUAGUUUACUUGCUAAGAUUGAAAAAUUGAAUGAUUCCCUUGCUAACCUUAGGAUUGAAAAUGAAAAAUUGAUUGCUAAGGCUAAAGACUUAGAUGUUUGCAAUGCUUCCAUUUCCAAUCUUAGAAGCGAAAAUGACAUUUUACAUGCUAAGAUUGUUAAACUAAAAUCUUGCAAACCCUCUACAUCUACCGUUGAGCAUGUUUCCAUUUGCACUAGAUGUAGAGACAUUAAUGUUGAUGCUAUUCAUGAUCACCUAGCUUUAAUUAAGAAACAAAAUGAUCACAUAGCUCAACUUAAUGCCAAAAUUAAUGAGCAUGACUUAGAAAAUGAAAAUUUUAAAUUUGCUAGAAGCAUGCUCUAUAGUGGGAGACGCCCUGGCAUCAAGGAUGGCAUUGGCUUCCAAAAGGGGGACAAUGUCAAACUUAAUGCCCCUCCUAAAUGUCACACCCGGUUUUGGAAGGUAAACCGAAUGCGAACCAUGUACGUGCCAGGAUCAGAAAUUCACGUACACGGCGAUUACAUAAAUGACUCAUCAUAGCACGAUGCUUCGAAUAACAAUAAAGAGUAAGUAAUAAUAUGAAAGACUAGAGUCAUUUACAUAAUAUAAUCAAAGUACACAGAAUAGAAACGUAGCCAACGUAAAUUAACCCACCACAGGCAGCUGACUGGGGAAGGUCGCUAGCCUAAUCCUCGAACUCAUCGAAGUCCUGGAACUCCUGGAGAUCCGCCUCGACGCUUCUUCUUUACCUGAGCAUAGAUUGCACCAAAGGCAACCUGGUGUUUUGUGAAAGCAAGGGUGAGUACACAUCAACGUACUCAGCAAAUGUCCCGUUUGGCUGAAGUGGACUAGCUUUAUGUGGGGUUAAGGUCAAAGCAGUUGCUUUUAGUUAGUCAGGUAUUUAUUAUUAAUGGAAGCCAAGUUUUAUCAUAUAACCAACCCGUGAACCAUUUCCUCAUCGAGGAAACACCAUUAUCAUCAUCGAACCAGAAUAAUAAAUAGAACCAUUGUGUCUCAGAUCAUUUGUAUCUCUAAUCAAAGAGGAUCUCAAGGCCGCUCAUAACCGUGAGCACGGCUGAUAUAUCAGUUUCUAACCCUCUGCAGAGGUCGCACACUUUACCCAUGAGCCGUGAUUCCCGUUUUGCCCAGGGAUCAUGACUCCCCAUUGAUCACUUCCUAGGUGGUCCGGCAGGGUAUCACUACGUAGCCUUUACAAAGAUUCCCUAGAGGUCAUAGCCGCCCGUUAGGUUUCUCCAGUUUGAUAAACACAGCACUCCUCCCCGCAGGAGGGUGACUAACAAAAGCAAAACGAAAGAACCUCGGCACCCAGCCUCGGUAGAGCAAGCACUGUGCCUGGACCCCAUUGACGGCACGACGGCGAAGCAACUACACCUCUAGUUCCUCUAAUUAAUUAGCUAAGGGCAUCCCAUUUCACCCUCAUGGUUGCACUGUUAUCCCGGGUGGUCUCUCAACGAACAGGUCCUUACGGAGAGGUACUCGGGAAACAGCCCGAGUCCCCUUAAAUGCCACGAGUAUAUCAUCAUAUCGAGAAUAAAAUCGUAGUAUCAUCAUUGUAUCUCAUCAUGUUCAUUGAUUAAAGUAAAGCGCUAGCAUGUAGCUAACCAUAGUAACCCAAAAGGUAAAUCAAGGACAAGGUAAAUAGAAAGCUAGUAAAUCCUUAGGUUUCAAUUAAGUAGUGCGGGACAGUGAAUUAUAAACAGAUAGGACAUAAUGGGUCAGAGGACACUUGCCUUCACCAAACUGAUGCUCAGGUCUUCAAUCUCGUGGAACUCAAAGAACUGGAUCACUUGGUUGCCCACGCUUGAUCUUUGAUUCCUCGAAGCUCGAAAACGGAUCGCAAUCUAUUCGCGACGCAAAGCGAAGACAAACAGGCACAAGCAAACAAAUAUAUAUAUGCAUAAGAACAUUACACCAUACAAGAUAAAACAUUAUAGAAACGAGCAAUAUAAAAUAGAGAGCGCUUCUACGGUUACGCGAGGAUAAGAAACACGACGGUCAAGCUACAGUCGAGAAGUUAUCGCGUUUACGUUAAACAAAUAUUAACUAUAAUGUUUUAAUUUGACAAUAUCAAAUAUAAAUAAUUUCUACCAUUUAGUUUCGAUUAAUCUGCUACACUAACAGCUAUCAGUUAAAUAAGUAAUUUAAUUAAAACGAGAGAUUCUAAGUGAGGCGAAUCUAGGACGUGCGAAACAACACGACAGCGCGCGAACGAUGCGGGCACACACGCGACAUAGCACACGAACGACGCACAAGACAGCGCGCGCGACUAGCACGAACGACGCGCGAAACAGCACGCCACUGCGUGCUGAACAACACGCGCGACAGAGCGCGCGGACGACGCACGAACACACGUGACACUCGCGAACGACACGCGACAACGCGUGUGAACGGCACGCGCGACACACGCAAAACAACGUGCACGACAGUGCGCGACACACGAGCCAACGCGACUACGCGAACGACGUCGCGCGAACAGCUUGACGACGCGCAAACGAUGCUGCAGGCGAACAACACAACUACGAGCACAACAAACAAUUAAUUAAACAAAAGUACUUAAACUAAUAUUAAAUAAGUUAAUUAACAUUUAUAUUUAUAAAAGCACGAGUUAAAAUUAUAGACCCGUUAUAAUUAAAUUGUCAUUAUAAAUAAUCCCGACAACUAAACAAGAAUGGACCAAUCAGCGCGAGCGACUAUAACAAAAAUAAUUGAAUAACGUGUGGACAUCGUGAAACAGCGCACGAGGGCGACAGCUACAACGGCGCACGACAGCUCGCUCGACCGAGCGAGGGCACCCGGCAAGCACAACACGAUGACAUAGCGCGCGCAGAGCGGGCAACGGCGAGGCGAGCGGCGCGAAUGCGCGCACGCAGGGGGUAGACGAACGAGUUCUAGGGGGUAGAUGGAGGGGUAGCCAGACGCCAUCAGAGUCCCGACGACAUGCCACGUAUAUGUGAAAGCGAGUGCGCGCUAGCUGCGAGGAGGUGUUUUGGGGCUGUUGCGCACACGGUUCGGCAAAUUGCGUCGCGCGGGGGGGGGCAUGCAUAGGGGUAGACGCCUGCUGCCCAUCUCGACGAGCGAGGAUACGGGUAUGGCUCGACGACGAACGACGCGCACAGAGGCUGGGUUGAGGGCGCGCAGGACACGACGCAACGACGUGUGGGGGACACUUGGCCGUGCUGGCUGCGAGGAACUCAUGUGAGGGGGGAUCGACAGGGGGAGUUUGCACCACGGCCAUGCUGGGACAGACUGCGCAACGGCAGCGGCUCGCCGUGGCGGCCGGACGGGCAUGGAGCGAGGGUGGCCAGGCGGGCUGCUCACGCGAGGAGGCUCCGGCUGCACGUCGGCCUGCUAUUAGCUACGCGUUGAUAGGAAAGAGAAGCGAGAGGAGAGAGGGAGAAGAAGAGGAGCUCACCUCAUGCUCGCAACGUCGGCCGGCGGUGCUGCGAAUCGGCACGAACAGCAGUGGCGAGCGUGCAGGGAGCGGCGACUGGGCAGCGCGCGCUAGGGGCGGCGGCUGGGCGAGCGUGCGCUAGGGUUCGCGCUGCGCGCGCGAGUGGCUGUGCAGCGGCUGGGCGAGCGGCGCGCGCUGGGCUGGGGCGCGGAGGCAGCAGCUGGCGCGCGGCUGGGCCACGAAAGCAGGCCGGGGUGGGGGUGCACCUGGGCCGUUCGUGAAGGACGAGCUGGGCCGAGUGAUUUGAG
This 5221-nucleotide long non-coding RNA is filed under the name Zea mays. RNAcentral's name for it is "long non-coding RNA (ZMAY_LNC002785)". The record is from RNAcentral. Lineage: Eukaryota; Viridiplantae; Streptophyta; Magnoliopsida; Poales; Poaceae.